This 324-nucleotide ribosomal RNA is filed under the name uncultured bacterium. RNAcentral describes it as "bacterial SSU rRNA". It matches the Rfam family "Bacterial small subunit ribosomal RNA", at positions 28 to 334 of the family's 1533-position model. The record is from RNAcentral.
GAUGAACGCUGGCGGCGUGCUUAACACAUGCAAGUCGAACGAAGCGCUUAAACGGAUUUCUUCGGAUUGAAGUUUUUGCGACUGAGUGGCGGACGGGUGAGUAACGCGUGGGUAACCUGCCUCAUACAGGGGGAUAACAGUUAGAAAUGACUGCUAAUACCGCAUAAGCGCACAGUGCUGCAUGGCACAGUGCGAAAAACUCCGGUGGUAUGAGAUGGACCCGCGGUGCAUUAGCUAGUUGGUGGGGUAACGGCCUACCAAGGCUGCGAUGCAUAGCCGACCUGAGAGGGUGAUCGGCCACACUGGGACUGAGACACGGCCCAG